GUGGGGAAUUUUGGACAAUGGGCGCAAGCCUGAUCCAGCAAUGCCGCGUGCAGGAAGAAGGCCUUCGGGUUGUAAACUGCUUUUGUACGGAACGAAACGGUCCGGGUUAAUACCCUGGGCUAAUGACGGUACCGUAAGAAUAAGCACCGGCUAACUACGUGCCAGCAGCCGCGGUAAUACGUAGGGUGCAAGCGUUAAUCGGAAUUACUGGGCGUAAAGCGUGCGCAGGCGGUUUUGUAAGACAGGCGUGAAAUCCCCGGGCUCAACCUGGGAAUUGCGCGUGUGACGGCAAGGCUGGAGUGCGGCAGAGGGGGAUGGAAUUCCGCGUGUAGCAGUGAAAUGCGUAGAUAUGCGGAGGAACACCGAUGGCGAAGGCAAUCCCCUGGGCCUGCACUGACGCUCAUGCACGAAAGCGUGGGGAGCAAACAGGAUUAGAAACCCCAGUAGUCC
RNAcentral lists this ribosomal RNA (450 nucleotides) under uncultured bacterium. Its description in RNAcentral is "partial 16S ribosomal RNA". It matches the Rfam family "Bacterial small subunit ribosomal RNA", at positions 354 to 796 of the family's 1533-position model. The record is from RNAcentral.